CGAACGCUGGCGGCGUGCUAACNACAUGCAAGUCGAACGAGGUCCAAGCGUUAGCAAUAACGUGGAAGAUCUAGUGGCGAACGGGUGAGUAACACGUGAGGAACCUACCCCGGACUCAGGGAUAACAGACGGAAACGUUUGCUAAUACCUGAUGCCGUCGGAGCAUCACAUGGUGCACUGACGAAAGAAUCUCGGUUCGGGAGGGCCUCGCGGCCUAUCAGCUAGUUGGUGGGGUAACGGCCUACCAAGGCAUCGACGGGUAGCUGGUCUGAGAGGAUGAUCAGCCACACUGGGACUGUGACACGGCCCAGACUCCUACGGGAGGCAGCAGUGGGGAAUCUUGCGCAAUGGGCGAAAGCCUGACGCAGCAACGCCGCGUGCGGGAAGAAGGCCUUAGGGUUGUAAACCGCUUUCAGUAGGAACGAAAAUGACGGUACCUGCAGAAGAAGGUGCGGCCAACUACGUGCCAGCAGCCGCGGUGACACGUAGGCACCAAGCGUUGUCCGGAUUUAUUGGGCGUAAAGAGCUCGUAGGCGGUUGAGUAAGUCGGGUGUGAAAACUCUGGGCUUAACCCAGAGCCGCCACCCGAUACUGCUCUGACUUGAGUUCGGUAGGGGAGCAGGGAAUUCCUAGUGUAGCGGUGAAAUGCGCAGAUAUUAGGAGGAACACCGGUGGCGAAGGCGCUGCUCUGGGCCGAAACUGACGCUGAGGAGCGAAAGCGUGGGUAGCAAACAGGAUUAGAUACCCUGGUAGUCCACGCCGUAAACGUUGGGCACUAGGUGUGGGUUCCAACCAACGGAAUCCGCGCCGUCGCUAACGCAUUAAGUGCCCCGCCUGGGGAGUACGGCGG
Molecule: ribosomal RNA, 850 nt
Filed under: uncultured bacterium
Lineage: Bacteria
Description: bacterial SSU rRNA
Rfam family: Bacterial small subunit ribosomal RNA
Source: RNAcentral